GAGCUCUGUGGGCCCCAGGUGCCCCGGGAAAACUUGGGGGAGAAUGGGCAUCCCACCCCAGCACUUUCUAGGAAGAAGGGCAGCAUUUUGAAGGGCUGGAAGUAGAGGAAGGAGGUUGCGGGUAGAAGACUCCAUACUUUCUGUGACGCCUAUUCCUUAGGUAGGAACUUAGGAACCUCAGUCAGAGGCAUGGCUUGCCUGGGCCUCUGGGUGCAGCUGCACAGAUUCAAGCAGCCUGAAGGAAAGGUGACUGACAGCUAAUGAUCUGAAAAGAACUUGUCUCAACUCAACGUCAUUCCUGGCAUUAUCGAACAAAGCAAUAAACCUCACAGAAUGGAAGCUACAGUGUCCAGGGCCAGCUCUGCUAAGGUAACCAAAGACAGAGAAGGAGGCAAAAGUGACAGAAGAAACUCAUGGGAAACCAACAGAAAUAUAAUGGCUUUGGCAGAAAUGCAAUUAUCAAUUGGGAGCUUGUGAUGAAUGUUUUCUCAGUAUCCUAUGCUGAAAACAGGUAGAUACUAAUAUCGAUCUUCAAGGGAGGGCUGUUGAGUAUUGAAUAAGACAAAAACAUGGAAGCAAUCAGCACCAUGCUGGAAUCAAGGCUAUCUGUAAUCACAGGGCUAUUUGAAAAAGAGAAGAAAAGGUGUCUUGAAAUUCAACCAACAUGUUUCAAUUAUUUGCUCCUAAGAACAACAGAAGUUUCAACAUUCUGCCAACAGAGUAACUCCUGGAAGAUUGGCACAGAAGAAGGCAC
This 754-nucleotide long non-coding RNA is filed under the name Homo sapiens (human). RNAcentral describes it as "STARD13 antisense RNA". The record is from RNAcentral. Lineage: Eukaryota; Metazoa; Chordata; Mammalia; Primates; Hominidae.